AUACGGAGGAUCCGAGCGUUAUCCGGAUUUAUUGGGUUUAAAGGGAGCGUAGGCGGACGCUUAAGUCAGUUGUGAAAGUUUGCGGCUCAACCGUAAAAUUGCAGCCGAUACUGGGUGUCUUGAGUACAGUAGAGGCAGGCGGAAUUUGGGGUGUAGCGGUGAAAUGCUUAGAUAUCACGAAGAACUCCGAUUGCGAAGGCAGCUUGCUGUACUGUAACUGACGCUGAUGCUCGAAAGUGUGGGUAUCAAACAGGAUUAGAUACCCUGGUAGUCCACACAGUAAACGAUGAAUACUCGCUGUUUGCGAUAUACAGUAAGCGGCCAAGCGAAAGCGUUAAGUAUUCCACCUGGGGAGUACGCCGGCAACGGUGAAACUCAAAUGAAUUGACGGGG
RNAcentral lists this ribosomal RNA (393 nucleotides) under uncultured bacterium. RNAcentral's name for it is "partial 16S ribosomal RNA". It matches the Rfam family "Bacterial small subunit ribosomal RNA", at positions 523 to 918 of the family's 1533-position model. The record is from RNAcentral.